UUGCUACUCUUCACGGCAAACGAAGACUCGGCCGACCUUCCAACGCAGGAGAAAUUCGCGCAACGAUUAAAAUCCAUCUCCUCCGGUAGGAUGCUUUGAUCUUCAACAAUGUGGAAAAAUUCUCCCGUCGCUACUGUCCCAGAUGGAGUGCCACACCUGCAUUACACAUAUCGCCGCGAGCUGGAAGUCCCGCACGCGAUGAUCCACCCAAACGAGAGGCCGAUCGCGAACAAGCUGUGGAGAAAAAUGUACCAGGAGACAUUUCGAUUCCUGACCGCCGGGAGGGCGCGGUCGAUUCGCUGCGCCAAGACGAAACCCUACCCCAAGUACCAUAAACCCUAAAACCGCAAGCUUUUAUCUCCUCGUGAGAGCAAGCAAACUAAACGCUACGAGCUAGAACUUUGGAUCAUAACAGAUAGAAGUUUUUCGUUGUGAUCA
Long non-coding RNA from Selaginella moellendorffii, 438 nucleotides. RefSeq lists it as uncharacterized. Lineage: Eukaryota; Viridiplantae; Streptophyta; Lycopodiopsida; Selaginellales; Selaginellaceae. The transcript has 2 exons. The record is from RefSeq and is a predicted model, not a curated record.